AAUGUUUCAUCACAAUGAUACUGUUUUAUUUAAAGGAUUUAUGGACUUCUAUGGUUAGGAAACAAGAAGUACCUUUAUUUAUGUUCUACUUGGUUAGCUAAAAAAGCUGAUUUUGAUAUUGGUCCGUUUGGUCCUUUUGCUUCAGGUUUCCUUCAUAUCCUUCGAGUGGAGUCUUGGGGGAUUUACUAUGAACGAUGAUGAUGCCAGUAUGCAAAUCUGUGGGUCAUCAUUUAAUCCUAUAUGGGGUUCUUAGUUUUCUAAUCCCAAAUCAGCAAUUGCUUUACUGUUGCAGGCUGAAAUGUUGGGAUUUUGCUAUUGAUUCGAUGUUUGUGCUGGCUCUAAGUUCAAUGCUUGCAUCUCUGUUGUUUUCAAAUGUCUUAAUCUUCUUGAUCCAUUUCUAGGGGGUGAAUGUUUCAUCACAAUGAUACUAUUUUAUUUAAAGAAUUUAUGGACUUCUAUGGUUAGGAAACAAGAGGUACCUUUAUUUAUGUUCUACUUGGAGCUUUAUCCUCAUGCUGACAGGAUUUCUUUGUGCUUGGCACUCUGUCUCUUCUGUCAUAAUAUGUCCUACAGUUGAGUGGGGUCUGCUGUAAUUAACAAUGUCAUUACCGGUUUAAAAUUUAUGGACAUCCCAGUAAUUGCUCUGCCCUCGACCCUGAUCCCUUUGCCAUCCCACUACAAGGCGCAUGAAAUAUAAUCAUGCUUAAGUACUUAAAAAAUAGUCUUCAAUUACGAUCUAUUUUCUUUGCUAGCCUGAGCUAUGGCUCAUCCAAGCUUCAUAAUAUGACUUUUCGAGUCACUUUCAUUUGGGAUACUUUAUUUGUCAUGUAGUGUUGCUUCCCAUCCCUAAAAGCUGGACAUUAUUAUGGUAUUUCUACAUCAUGUGCAGCCAAAAACUCAUUAUUGUUAGAUACGAUGUUCCCGUGGGUUUUGUCUUUAUAUUAACUCUUUUUUUCUUUUUUUCACCCAUUUGGCAGGCCG
This 981-nucleotide long non-coding RNA is filed under the name Elaeis guineensis (African oil palm). Its description in RNAcentral is "long non-coding RNA (EGUI_LNC060895)". Lineage: Eukaryota; Viridiplantae; Streptophyta; Magnoliopsida; Arecales; Arecaceae. The record is from RNAcentral.